UGGAUCUCCUCUACUCUUCUUACUCUCUGUUCAAAGAAACACAUUUUUAUGGACUACAGUAAUGGGUUUUGAAUAGACACUCUGGCUUCCAGCUGAGUUUUCUUUAGUUGGGAAAAGCUGGAGAGAUCAGAGACAGCAAGUGAUAACAGACAGUGAGAAGAGAUUAUUUGUCCCCCUGGUCCCCUCCUUGACCAUCCACUCUACAGACUGUCCUCAACUGGAGGUCACUGCCGCUCUCAGAGAGGACUACCCUGCUUGGUUCUGAUUUUAGAAUGUAGUCCCCAUGUAUUCCACUUAGCCUUUUGGGACUAGAGUUGACAACAAUGCAAUUGCUACUAAGCCCUGGGUUAUUGCAUUCUCUCUCGUUCCCUCCACCAACCCUCACAACUUAGUAAAUAAACCUUCCUUGAAUUAUCUCAUUUAGAAUGUAUGAAUUGUUGUGACCCUGACUAGUAUGCUUAGUAUGCAAGAUAAAGAUUUAGCUUUCUUACUUCCAACUCUCUUGCCCUACGAUGCUAUAACCGCCCCCCUCCCCCACACCCCACCACACACAGACACUCUUCCUGUUAGGGACUGAAUGUUUGUGUCUCCCUCACUGCCCUUCAUAGCUGAAGCUUUAACUCCCAAUGUGUUGGUAUUUGUGGAAGGGGUCCAGGGAAGGGAUUAGGGUUAAAAGAAGUCACAAGGAUAGUGCCCUUGUGAUUGUAUUAGAACCCUGUAAUAAGAGACACUAGACUUUGCUUCCCUUCUCUCUCCACACUUGCAUAAAGAAGACAUAUGAGCACACAGUGAGAUGGCAGCUGCCUACAGGCCAAGACAAGAGGCUGCAGACUGAAAAUUAUCUGCUAAUAUUUUCGUUUUAGACUUCUAGCUUCCAGAACUGUGAGAAAUACUCUCCUGUUGAUUAAGCCAUGCAUUCCAUGGCCUUUUGUUAUGGCACUCUGAGCUAAAACAUUUCCCCUCUCCACAUCUGCCUUGCUUAGAUAUAUCAUAAUUUUUGGUUAAAUCAAUAUUCUGUAUUAUUAUAAUCUGUAAAUAUUUCUACCUGUGGUUUUAAAAUUUAUUUUAAUUUCUCCCUAAUCUAAUUUCUUUUUACUAGAUCAGCCACAAAAAAGAAUGAAAUCUUGCCAUUUGCAACAACAUGGAUAGAGCUAGAGAGUAUAAUGCUAAAUGAAGUAAGUCAGAGAAAAGGGAAUACCUCACCUGUAGAAUUUAAGAACAAGACAAAUGAGCAAAGUAAAAAAAAAAAAUGAGAGAGAGAGAUAAGAAAUAGAAUGUUACUAUAGAGAACAAAUUGAUGGUUACUAGACAGGAAGUGGAUGGAAGAAUAGAGAAAUAGGUGAUGGGCAUUAAGGAGUCCACUUGUCAAGAUGAGCACCAAGUAAUGUAAGGAAUUGUUGAAUCACUAUGUUGUACAUCUAAAACUAAUAUAACACUGUAUGUUAACUAUACUGGAAUAAAAUAAGAAAAAAAAUUACUAGUGUUAAUUCUGUCAAUUUUUGUUUGCUUAAUUUUCUACCUAUCACUAAUCAAUUCUCAAACUCUCCCCCAGAAGACUCCUUCCAAUAUUUCAAAAAUAUCGGAAAAAUCCAUAAAGUCCAUCUUUUUGUUAGAGGCACGCCUCCCAAAGCCUUCCAUUGCCUUGCUCCCAUGUGGACUGGUUGUUCUCUAGACCUACAGUCUUGCAAUUUUGCAUCUCCUGGAUCUCCUGCUUUAUUCCUUCCAUUUGAUGGAGCACAUCUUCCAGUUUCUUCCUGAUAUGAUGUAUGGGACAUACAUAUUUUAAGACCUGAAUGUUUAAAAGGUUAUAAUCUACCUUCUAAUCCAAUCUAAUUGGAUUGCUGGAUAUAGAAUUCUAGAUUGGAAAUAAUUUUCUUUACAAUUUUGAAGCAAUUGUUCCAUUUGUCUUCUGGUUUCUGACACUAGUGUUGAUGUUUGAAAUGGGAUCCUUUUUUAAAAAAUAUUUUUUUUAGUAGAUUUGUAUAUGCAAAUGAGUUACUCAUUGUGAGUAUAGGCACACAAUGUUCCAUUAGUUUCAGGUGUACAAAACAGUGAUGCUGUGUGUACCAAAAGUGUAACCAUCAUCUGUCACUGCACAAUGCUAUUAUAGUAUUAUUGACUAUAUUUGAAAUGAGAUCCUUUUUAUUGGAACUCCCUUGAAAUUCCUUCACUUUGCUGCUGGAAACGUUUAAGAUCUUUUUUGGUCCCUAGUGAUCUGAUAACAACAAUGUGUGAUGAAAUACUUUAAAGUGGGUCUUUUUUUCAUGUAGUGUUCUGAGCCCUAAGUGAACUCUCUCAAUCUGGGAACAAAUGACCUUCACUUUGGAGAGUUUUCCUUCAGACAUUUGACAAUUUUCUCUCUUACAUUUUCAAACUAUGUUAUCUUCCUUUCUUAUACCUCCUGAUCCGAUUCUUUAGUCAUUUAUCUUCUAUAUGUUAUAUUUUCUAUUGUCUGCUUUUA
Molecule: long non-coding RNA, 2461 nt
Filed under: Canis lupus familiaris (dog)
Lineage: Eukaryota; Metazoa; Chordata; Mammalia; Carnivora; Canidae
Description: lncRNA (ENSCAFG00000052293.1, ENSCAFG00845011415.1)
Source: RNAcentral